This is a long non-coding RNA of Amblyraja radiata (thorny skate), 250 nucleotides long. RefSeq lists it as uncharacterized. Lineage: Eukaryota; Metazoa; Chordata; Chondrichthyes; Rajiformes; Rajidae. The record is from RefSeq and is a predicted model, not a curated record. The transcript is spliced from 5 exons.
UCCUGCACCUAUUGUCUAUUGUUUGGAAGGGGUGGUUUCCACAUCUCCGCCACAAUGUAAUGCUGUUUGUUGGUUCACAAGGCAAUGUCUUCUUUCACAUUCAAUUGUCACUUGAUGGUUCUGUUAAUAUUGUUUAUUCCAGAGCUACAGAGUUUGUGAACGCCUGUCGACAUCAUGUCUGAAGGUGGUGACUAGGGAGGUGAUUCAGUGGCCACUACAUCAAAGGAACACAAAGGUGGGAAAUGAACUC